RNAcentral lists this ribosomal RNA (1011 nucleotides) under Serratia plymuthica. RNAcentral describes it as "partial 16S ribosomal RNA". Lineage: Bacteria; Pseudomonadati; Pseudomonadota; Gammaproteobacteria; Enterobacterales; Yersiniaceae. The record is from RNAcentral.
GGGGGGGGGGGGGGGGGGGGGGUGGAGCGGGUCGCGGACAUCUAGUCUGACCUACUCCGCAGGCGGUACGAUUUACGCGUUAUCUCCGGAAGCCACGCCUCAAGGGCACAACCUCCAAAUCGACAUCGUUUACAGCGUGGACUACCAGGGUAUCUAAUCCUGUUUGCUCCCCACGCUUUCGCACCUGAAGCGUCAGUCUUUGUCCAGGGGGCCGCCUUCGCCACCGGUAUUCCUCCAGAUCUCUACGCAUUUCACCGCUACACCUGGAAUUCUACCCCCCUCUACAAGACUCUAGCUUGCCAGUUUCAAAUGCAGUUCCCACGUUAAGCGCGGGGAUUUCACAUCUGACUUAACAAACCGCCUGCGUGCGCUUUACGCCCAGUAAUUCCGAUUAACGCUUGCACCCUCCGUAUUACCGCGGCUGCUGGCACGGAGUUAGCCGGUGCUUCUUCUGCGAGUAACGUCAAUGCAAUGUGCUAUUAACACAUUACCCUUCCUCCUCGCUAAAAGUGCUUUACAACCCUAAGGCCUUCUUCACACACGCGGCAUGGCUGCAUCAGGCUUGCGCCCAUUGUGCAAUAUUCCCCACUGCUGCCUCCCGUAGGAGUCUGGACCGUGUCUCAGUUCCAGUGUGGCUGGUCAUCCUCUCAGACCAGCUAGGGAUCGUCGCCUAGGUGAGCCAUUACCCCACCUACUAGCUAAUCCCAUCUGGGCACAUCUGAUGGCGUGAGGCCCGAAGGUCCCCCACUUGGGUCCGUAGACGUUAUGCGGUAUUAGCUACCGUUUCCAGGUAGUUAUUCCCCCUCCCAUCAGGCAGGUUUCCCAAGACAUUUACCUCACCCCGGUCCGCCGCUUCGUUAACCCAAGAGAAGCAGCCUUCUCUCGUGCUACCCGCUCACCUGCCUGUGUUAGGCCGCGGCCACGUCAAUUAGCAGUAUAGAACAUNUUAAUUCCCGGGCACAAAAACCCCUCUGGUAAACCGGCCGGGAAUUUUUGUGACCCCAGGGGGAU